UUUGGGUUUAGUAUUUAGGGGUUAGAUUUAGAUUUACGGUUUAGAAUUUAUGAUUUAGGGUUUUGUUAGGCAUCAUUAUUUUUUUCAAUUAUUUUAAAAAUUUUAAAUACAAUUUAAUAUUUUUUAUUAGUUAUCUAGGUGGCACUUUGAUUGGUGGUGAGAGAGGUAGUAAAUUUAAAAGUUCACAAUAGGGAGUGAACCUAAAUUUUGUCUUUAGUAAUAUGAAUGAAAGUACUUUAAAAUCUAAAAAAGUUAAUUUUUGGGAAACGAAAGAAAAUCUAGAAAAUAUAGACUUAUUCUUGGGUUCACCUUCUAGGGUAAAUCUGUAGGUUCACCAACCAAUAGGAUUGUGUUAUUUCAUAUUCGGUAUCUUUUAAAAAGGAAACAAAGUAUUGUUAAAUUAUAUUAUUUUUUAAAAAUUAAAAGGUAAAAAGAAAUAAAUAAAAAAUAGUAGUAAUUACAAAAAAAAUAUUUUUAACGUCGUCAGCAAAACAUUAAACACUAUAUCGUAAUCCCUAAUCCCAAAAUCCUAAACCCUAAACCCUUGGGUAAACCCUAAACUGUAGGAUAAAUCUUAAACUCUAGGAUAAAUCUUAAACUCUAAAUCAAAAUCACUAAACACUAAAACACUCAAAGGUUUAAGGUUUAGGAUUUAGGGUUUAGAGUUUUAGGGUUUGUUUUUAUUUAGAGUUUAGGAUUUAUCCAAGCGUUUAGGGUUUACCCAAGGAUUCAGGGUUUACCCAAGGGUUUAAUUAGGUUUAUCCAAGGGUUUAGGAUUUAUGAUUUAGAGUUUAGUGAUUAUGAUUUAGAGUUUAGUGUUUUGCUGACGACGUUAAAAAGAUUUUUUUAAUUAUUUUUUCUGUAACUGCUAUUUGUUUUUUUACUUUUUUUUAUUUUAAAAACAUAAUAUAACUUAAAAAUAUUUUGUUUCCUCUUUUAAAAGAUAUCGAUUUGAAAUAAUGAAAUUCUAUUGGUGGUG
This 979-nucleotide long non-coding RNA is filed under the name Brassica napus (rape). Its description in RNAcentral is "long non-coding RNA (BNAP_LNC021602)". Lineage: Eukaryota; Viridiplantae; Streptophyta; Magnoliopsida; Brassicales; Brassicaceae. The record is from RNAcentral.